This 460-nucleotide ribosomal RNA is filed under the name uncultured bacterium. RNAcentral describes it as "partial 16S ribosomal RNA". It matches the Rfam family "Bacterial small subunit ribosomal RNA", at positions 338 to 795 of the family's 1533-position model. The record is from RNAcentral.
CCUACGGGAGGCAGCAGUGAGGAAUAUUGGUCAAUGGACGAGAGUCUGAACCAGCCAAGUAGCGUGAAGGAUGACUGCCCUAUGGGUUGUAAACUUCUUUUAUAUGGGAAUAAAAUGUUCCACGUGUGGGAUUUUGUAUGUACCAUAUGACUAAGGAUCGGCUAACUUCGGGCCAGCCGCCGCUGUAAUACGGAGGGUCGGAGCGUUAUCCGGAUUUAUUGGGUUUAAAGGGAGCGUAGGUGGAUUGUUAAGUCAGUUGUGAAAGUUUGCGGCUCAACCGUAAAAUUGCAGUUGAAACUGGCAGUCUUGAGUACAGUAGAGGUGGGCGGAAUGCGUGGUGUAGCGGUGAAAUGCUUAGAUAUCACGAAGAACUCCGAUUGCGAAGGCAGUUCACUGGACUGCAACUGACACUGAGGCUCGAAAGUGUGGGUAUCAAACAGGAUUAGAUACCCUGGUAGUC